GACUUGGAGCUGAGGUCAUUUGGAGC
This 26-nucleotide non-coding RNA is filed under the name Homo sapiens (human). The record is from RNAcentral. Lineage: Eukaryota; Metazoa; Chordata; Mammalia; Primates; Hominidae.